GAUACGCGAGGANCCUUACCCUGGGCUUAAAUGUAUUAGGACAGUACUGGAAACGGUAUUUCCNUUCGGGGUCUUUUACAAGGUGCUGCAUGGUUGUCGUCAGCUCGUGCCGUGAGGUGUCGGGUUAAGUCCCAUAACGAGCGCAACCCUUACCGUUAGUUGCUAACAGGUCAAGCUGAGGACUCUGGCGGGACUGCCACCGUAAGGUGAGAGGAAGGUGGGGAUGACGUCAAAUCAGCACGGCCCUUAUGUCCAGGGCUACACACGUGUUACAAUGGCCGGUACAAAGGGCAGCUACCUGGUGACAGGAUGCUAAUCUCUAAAGCCGGUCCCAGUUCGGAUCGAAGUCUGCAACCCGACUUCGUGAAGCUGGAUUCGCUAGUAAUCGCGCAUCAGCCAUGGCGCGGUGAAUACGUUCCCGGGCCUUGUACACACCGCCCGUCAAACCAUGGAAGCAUGGGGGUGCCUNAAG
This 472-nucleotide ribosomal RNA is filed under the name uncultured Sphingobacteriales bacterium. Its description in RNAcentral is "bacterial SSU rRNA". It matches the Rfam family "Bacterial small subunit ribosomal RNA", at positions 956 to 1426 of the family's 1533-position model. The record is from RNAcentral. Lineage: Bacteria; Pseudomonadati; Bacteroidota; Sphingobacteriia; Sphingobacteriales.